This is a non-coding RNA of Acanthosepion pharaonis, 114 nucleotides long. The record is from the annotation of a GenBank genome assembly. Lineage: Eukaryota; Metazoa; Mollusca; Cephalopoda; Sepiida; Sepiidae.
UUACGGACAUAUCACAUUGAAACACCGGUUACCCUACGAUUACCGGAGUUAAGCAACGUCGAGCCUAGUCUGUAUCUAGAUGGGUGACCGCUUGGGAAUACCAGGUGCUGCAAG